RNAcentral lists this ribosomal RNA (744 nucleotides) under uncultured bacterium. RNAcentral describes it as "bacterial SSU rRNA". It matches the Rfam family "Bacterial small subunit ribosomal RNA", at positions 1 to 745 of the family's 1533-position model. The record is from RNAcentral.
UGAGAGUUUGAUCCUGGCUCAGAUUGAACGCUGGCGGCAUGCCUUACACAUGCAAGUCGAACGGCAGCGCGGACUUCGGUCUGGCGGCGAGUGGCGAACGGGUGAGUAAUACAUCGGAACGUACCCUGUUGUGGGGGAUAACUAGUCGAAAGAUUAGCUAAUACCGCAUACGACCUGAGGGUGAAAGCGGGGGACCGAAAGGCCUCGCGCAGCAGGAGCGGCCGAUGUCUGAUUAGCUAGUUGGUGGGGUAAAGGCCCACCAAGGCGACGAUCAGUAGCUGGUCUGAGAGGACGAUCAGCCACACUGGGACUGAGACACGGCCCAGACUCCUACGGGAGGCAGCAGUGGGGAAUUUUGGACAAUGGGGGCAACCCUGAUCCAGCAAUGCCGCGUGUGUGAAGAAGGCCUUCGGGUUGUAAAGCGCUUUUGUCCGGAAAGAAAUUGCUCUGGCUAAUACCUGGGGUAGAUGACGGUACCGGAAGAAUAAGCACCGGCUGACUACGUGCCAGCAGCCGCGGUAAUACGUAGGGUGCGAGCGUUAAUCGGAAUUACUGGGCGUAAAGCGUGCGCAGGCGGUUUUGUAAGACAGGCGUGAAAUCCCCGGGCUCAACCUGGGAAUUGCGCUUGUGACUGCAAGGCUAGAGUGCGUCAGAGGGGGGUAGAAUUCCACGUGUAGCAGUGAAAUGCGUAGAGAUGUGGAGGGAUACCGAUGGCGAAGGCAGCCCCCUGGGACGUGACUGACG